UCAUAAGAAACAGUUUAGCUAUUAAGUGGAAGCACUCAAUAAUUAUCUUGCUAAACCAACUUUGAUAUAAACCAACUUAUCAAGAUGAACUAUCUCGAGUAGAUAAUCUGGAAAUUAUGCUCGAAGUUAGAUUACUGAGCAAUUUACCUCGCAAGCAAAGGCCAGGCUGCGGGUUAAUAACAAUUGCGCAUGUAACCAUUUCAUAGAUGCAUCAUAUGUGG
This 221-nucleotide long non-coding RNA is filed under the name Nicotiana benthamiana. Its description in RNAcentral is "long non-coding RNA (NBEN_LNC019509)". Lineage: Eukaryota; Viridiplantae; Streptophyta; Magnoliopsida; Solanales; Solanaceae. The record is from RNAcentral.